GCAUAUCAAUAAGCGGAGGAAAAGAAACCAACAGGGAUUGCCCUAGUAACGGCGAGUGAAGCGGCAACAGCUCAAAUUUGAAAUCUGGCUUCGGCCCGAGUUGUAAUUUGCAGAGGAUGUUUAUGGUGCGGUACCUUCCGAGUUCCCUGGAACGGGACGCCACAGAGGGUGAGAGCCCCGUCUGGUUGGAUACCAAACCUGUGUUAAACUCCUUCAACGAGUCGAGUAGUUUGGGAAUGCUGCUCUAAAUGGGAGGUAAAUCUCUUCUAAAGCUAAAUACCGGCCAGAGACCGAUAGCGCACAAGUAGAGUGAUCGAAAGAUGAAAAGCACCUUGAAAAGGGGGUUAAACAGUACGUGAAAUUGUUAAAAGGGAAGCGUUUAUGACCAGACUUGUGUCGUGUGGCUCAUCCGAGGUUCUCCCCGGUGCACUCCACACGGCUCAGGCCAACAUCGGUUCUCGUUGGGGGAUAAGAACAGUAGGAACGUGGCCCUCUUCGGAGGGUGUUAUAGCCUGCUGUACGAUACCCUGAUGGGGACCGAGGACCGCGCUUCGGCUAGGAUGUUGGCGUAAUGGUCAUUAGCGACCCGUCUUGAAACACGGACCAAGGAGUCGUCCAUUAGAGCGAGCGUUUGGGUGUAAAACCCGCACGCGUAAUGAAAGUGAAAUUAGGUGAGAGCUUCGGCGCAUCAUCGACCGAUCCUGAAGUUUACGGAUGGAUUUGAGUAAGAGUUUUAACGGACGGACCCGAAAGACAGUGAACUAUGCUUGAAUAGGGUGAAGCCAGAGGAAACUCUGGUGGAGGCUCGCAGCGGUUCUGACGUGCAAAUCGAUCGUCAAAUUUGAGCAUGGGGGCGAAAGACUAAUCGAACUGUCUAGUAGCUGGUUACCGCCG
This 894-nucleotide ribosomal RNA is filed under the name Gnomoniopsis smithogilvyi. RNAcentral describes it as "partial large subunit ribosomal RNA". It matches the Rfam family "Eukaryotic large subunit ribosomal RNA", at positions 38 to 963 of the family's 3401-position model. Lineage: Eukaryota; Fungi; Ascomycota; Sordariomycetes; Diaporthales; Gnomoniaceae. The record is from RNAcentral.